Molecule: long non-coding RNA, 265 nt
Filed under: Nicotiana benthamiana
Lineage: Eukaryota; Viridiplantae; Streptophyta; Magnoliopsida; Solanales; Solanaceae
Description: long non-coding RNA (NBEN_LNC040866)
Source: RNAcentral
AAUCCAUAUAAAUGCACCAAUUAUUGGGUAGGAACGUGCUAGAGUACCUCUCAAGUUACAAAUCGAUAUAGUAUAUGCUUCGGAUUGGCGAAUCAGCUCUGUUCACUUCUUUUCUUGGAACUGGAAAACAAGAAAAACAAAUAAAUUUUUUGAUGUUUUCAAGAGAGAGAUGCUCAAUGUUCAAUUUCUUCUAAGCUUGUUGAAGAUAUUAUUCGUUUAUAUCAGAAAGCUCAACCAAUUAUAACUCAGAGAGGCUGAAAAAAAA